UAUCGAAAUAAUAGCUAUGGCUGAUCUUUUACAGGUCUUCCUGUUCUCCAGGAUUUCAGUGAUGGUGCACAGGUACACUAACUACGUGGAAAAAUCAUAGAGGCAAAGUCUUGAUCCUGGAAGCACUUAAGCAGAAGCUUAACUUUACUGCUCAGAGGACAGCCAAUGUUCAUUGACUUCAGUGGGGCUAAUCCAUGACAGUAAAGCACAUGCAUAAGCGUUUGCAACAUUGGGGACUAACUGUGGCCAUGUUAUGCCUGAUGUACUAGCACAAGGCAUCUGAAGGUUUAUUCCAGCUUUAAGUCACAGGUAGAAAAUAUGCUGAUGGUCUUGAAGAGGAUGAUGUAAAACCAAAACAGAAGCAGCUAAGGAGAUGAACUACCUAAGAGUGAGGAAAGUUUUGUCUCGGGAAGGAAAACAUGCCUUUUACUGGAUGUGGAAUUGUUUGGUUUCAGAAUGGAGCCAUGCUGCUGGGGUUCUGGAGUUUGUGUCAGCAGAGCUGUGGAGAAGAAUUGCAGGAAUAAAGCUUUCCUACACUGCAGAUUCCUGGUAUUUCUGGGCCCCUCCAGGGUUGCGGAUUGACCCAAGACAAAGGAGAACUUGUUUAAAUGCUCAUCCCAAGAAGACAGACCAGGAAAUGGGGAAUGUGGCUUGUUAUUCGCUCCUCUAUAUGUAUCUGAUACCUUAAGGACAACACAAGCAAUCCUUUUGUCCCCUUUUUUAAUUGUCAUCUGUUUAUCUUUGUUUUGAUGCAUUGUGAGAGGGAGCCAAAGGCCCUACCAGCCCCGUGGCAAGCAAGGAGUUAACUGCAAUGCACUCUCAGGAUCACACAGGUGUUCCAGGCACAGCCCAUUGAAGCAGUGGCUCCAGGAACAGGAAGAGAGAGAGACAGCCUGGGAGAAGGCUGGGCUUUAUGGGCUAGGUAAGAACCCCCGGAGGUAGGCAAUGCUUUUGUGCUACACUUUGAUGUUUGUUAUUUGCUAUUCCCUGACCAAGAGAUAAAGGUCUUGAGCAGACAUCAAUGGGAGCUGGACUAGCCCCUCACACAGAGACUUAGCAUAGCAUUGAGGGCUGCUCUAAUUUGCACUCCAGCUGCAAUGACCGGUGUGUAGGAAUCCCACCCUCUUGUCUUUCUCACACUCUGUGCACUAGGAAUGCUGGAGAGGAAGUCUUUGGACCCUUGUUCCAGCACAAUAGGGAAAGCUUAUGUGAGUUACUGACCUAGUGUUUUUUGGGGCAAUUCACCAGCAAGCCUCUAGUAUCCUUCAAGGAAAGG
Molecule: long non-coding RNA, 1276 nt
Filed under: Chrysemys picta bellii (western painted turtle)
Lineage: Eukaryota; Metazoa; Chordata; Testudines; Emydidae
Description: lncRNA (ENSCPBG00000011888.1)
Source: RNAcentral